Molecule: long non-coding RNA, 491 nt
Organism: Phlebotomus papatasi
Lineage: Eukaryota; Metazoa; Arthropoda; Insecta; Diptera; Psychodidae
Exons: 3
Source: RefSeq, a predicted model, not a curated record
AGGCUGUCUCAUCAAGAAAUUGGGCGCAAAAAUCUGUUCAGCCAUUUCAAGAAUAAAGCUGAUCAGGCUAAGGCCAAUUUUAUUUUAACCAAGAAGGAAAAGCAGACGGUAAUGGCUAAUUAUAAAAAAAGGCUUGGCAAAAUUAAGCGUACAUGUGAGGAAAUAAGACACAGUAGCUUGUCUUCAGAAGACCAAAUCCAGAUACUGAAUAUCUUUAGAGGGCUGGGGUUCUGAGGUGAGCGAGCAAAGUGCGGAUUAACCCUCUCACGGGUAAGACCGCCUCCAGGCGGUCUUCACAAAAACAAACGACAUGGAUUAAACGAACUGCAUGGAUUAAAAAAAAAAACAAAAAAAAAACUUUGUAUUACCAAAAAAUUUGAAUUUAAAAUGAAAAUAAAAUAAAGUUGAAUUUAAAUGAAAAUGGAAUUCGAAAUGUUGGACUUUUAUUACCCAAAAAUAUAUAGUUAUUUAAAAAAUUAAAAAUGAUCCGU